CACUAUAGUACCAGGCAAUUCUAUACUUCUAUAGAACCUUUUAUGUUAAAACUAGUAACAAGAAGUACCCCUUCUCUUUAAUGCGAGCAUAAAUCAGCUAGGACCAACCACUGAUAAUUAACACCAUUGAGUCAACAGUAGAAACACCACAAGAAAACCCUACUACACAUUAUUGUUAACCUAACACAAGAGCAUUACAAGAAAGAUUAAAAGAAAAAGAAGGAACUCGGCAAACAUUAACCCCGCCUGUUUACCAAAAACAUCGCCUCUUGAUAAACACAUAAGAGGUCCAGCCUGCCCAGUGACUCUGUUCAACGGCCGCGGUAUCCUAACCGUGCGAAGGUAGCGUAAUCACUUGUUCUUUAAAUGAGGACUAGUAUGAAUGGCACCACGAAGGUUAUACUGUCUCCUUUUUCUAAUCAGUGAAACUAAUCUUCCCGUGAAGAAGCGGGAAUAAUAAUAUAAGACGAGAAGACCCUAUGGAGCUUUAAACAGAUAUACAAUUGCCUCCAAUACAAAAAAUUUCAGAAAAUAAAUACCCAUCCAGGCAUUUUGAUAUAAAGUUUUCGGUUGGGGUGACCACGGAGCAAAAAAUAACCUCCGCAAUGAAAGGGAAUUUUACCCUAAACCCAGGGCUACGACCCUAAGUAUCAAUAAUUUGACACUAAUUGACCCAAUACACUUGAUCAAUGAACCAAGUUACCCUAGGGAUAACAGCGCAAUCCAUUUCAAGAGCUCCUAUCGACAAAUGGGUUUACGACCUCGAUGUUGGAUCAGGGUAUCCCAGUGGUGCAGCCGCUACUAACGGUUCGUUUGUUC
Molecule: ribosomal RNA, 819 nt
Filed under: Leptodactylus elenae
Lineage: Eukaryota; Metazoa; Chordata; Amphibia; Anura; Leptodactylidae
Description: partial 16S ribosomal RNA
Rfam family: Bacterial large subunit ribosomal RNA
Source: RNAcentral